RNAcentral lists this long non-coding RNA (4452 nucleotides) under Anolis carolinensis (green anole). RNAcentral describes it as "lncRNA (ENSACAG00000042197.1)". Lineage: Eukaryota; Metazoa; Chordata; Lepidosauria; Squamata; Anolidae. The record is from RNAcentral.
AUGCAACUAAUUGGCAGCAGAUUCCUCUCUGCUGCCAACACUGUGCUUAGAGUAACUUGCGUCGCUCCCACACACACAGCAGACAGGAUUUCCAACACGAACAGAUCAGCCAAGGAUUGUAGCAGUAGAGUAGACCCAGUUCCUUUCCGUAGAUCAAAGCCAGAAGCAGACGUUUGUAGUUUCCAAGUCCAAGAAGGGGGAAGUCAAGCCGUGGUCAGUUCAGUCCGAAUUUCAAAGCAGGAGAUGGCGUCCGUCAAGAAGACGACGGAAGGUCAAGCUAAUAAGAGUAAGCACAGGAAAAGCCUCUUAAACAUCACAUUCCCUCACGACCCUAUCUGCUGCCAAACUGCCAUCCAUGUCUAUGCCAGGCAUCCUCAGAGAUUAUGAGAUCUGUUUGAAAACAGACAAGUGGGAUGUUUAUUUCUAUCUCACCAAUGAUAUCCAGGAUGGGACAAUUCUGAUCUGUCUGAGGCGACUGUGAAUGUUCCACUUGGCCACCUUGAUUACCAUUGAAUGCCCUUGCACCUUCAAGGCCUGCCUACUUCCUGCUUCGGAGAGGAAUCCUUUGUUGGGAGAUGUUAGCUGGCCCUCAGUACAUCAUGUCUGGAAUUCCCUGAUUGCUCAGUGCUGUUCUUUAGUUAACUGUCCUGAUUUCACAGAUUUUUUUAAUACUGGGAACCACAUUUUGUUCAUUCCAGGCAGGCAGGAACCAUCCAGGCUUUGAAGCUACAAGGCUAUUUAGUGCCAAAUCCAACAUUCACACUUGCCGAAAGCAGACAACAGUUCUUUCUUCCACCCUGGUCAUUCCACAGAUAUAUAAACCCCACUUCCUUUCGUUACAACACAUUUCACAACCUCUGAGGAUGCCUGCCAUACACACAGGCGAAACAUCAGGAGAGAAUACAUUUGGAACAUGACCAGGCAGACCACAGAACUCAGAGCAACCCAAUACAAAGAGAAACAAAAAUAAUAAAAUAAAUACAAAAAACAAAUAAAAAAACAAAAUAAAAUAAUACAAUAAAAAACAUAAAUAAAAAUAAUAUAAUCAAAUAAUAAAAUAUAAUACAUACAAAUAAUAAAAUAAAAUAAUAAAAACACAAAUAAUAAUAAAAGAAUAAAAAAUAAAAUAAAUACAAAUAAUACAAUAAAAAUAAUAAAAAACACUAAAAAUAAUAAAAAACACUAAAAAAUUAAUACAAUAAAAUACUAUAAUAACAGAAAAUAACUAAAAAUAAUACAAGAAAAUAAUAAAAUAUAAUAAAUAAAAAAGAUAAGUUACAAUAAAAUUAAUUAAAAAUACAAAUAAAGUCAAAUAAAAAUUCCACAACCAUUUUUAACCAAUACCACCACCACUUUGCCACAGCAACGCGUGGCCAGGCACAGCUAGUUAUAUUAUAGGAAGUAAAAGGUGGAACGCUUGUGGAGAUGAUCCCUUUCCUAGAAAUACAUCCAUAUCUUCAGAAUUAUUUCAGAGGCUCCAACAGUUGACCUCUGAAAGGUCAAGAACACUGACUGAGUCAGUUUCCAAUUAGCUUAUAUCUGUCACCAGAUCUUGGCCAUAUGACCUUACUCUCUUCCUCUGUGCAAACAUUUUAGAUUUGAUUAAUGGGACUGAUUUCAUGACAAAACUAGUGGACUCCACAAAUACUGGAGAUGCUGUAGUAAAUCUAGCCCACACAGUAAUCCAGUAUCAUACAAGGCUGCAUAUAUGGAACACUUGUUCUAUAGUAGGAAAUAUUUCAUCCCAGAUGUUGUUUAUAGAUGGGAGGUGGAGGGAGCUAUGAAUUGCAGAGAUGCUAAAAACAAAAAGAGAGACUAAAAGUUCCCAAUCACCCUUUGGUCUCUGGCAGAAUUGGCUGCCAAAAGUCUGUCUUAUCAAUGUAGGAAAGCCAAGGAAGCUUACUCCUCCAUGUCACUGUCUUUUUCCAAUCAAAAGCAGUUAUGCUUUGGCUGGAUUAAGGCAAAGCUGCACAUAAACCCCCUGGAGACAGGCUAUCAAACAAACCUUGAGACAGCAUGGAGACAGCCAUGGCAGAUCAGAUACAAAAGGCAGAUCUAUGCAAUGUGUGUGUAACAAUUCAUGCAAACUAAUCAUGCCUUGACACAGCAGUAGACAAUCACAAUGUGGAUUGUUCACUCAGGGGAAUAGCAACCUCUCCUCAUGCAAAACCUGUAUCUCAUAUUGGUCUUAUUAACAUUCAUUGCUCCCCGUCUUUCAUAUAUUUUAUUUGCACUGUUGACACACCUAUUCACAAUUCAUGUUAUUGGUCUGUUAUCCAACUUCAAGUUUGAAGUAGAGCAUUGGCUGGCAGCAGAGAAAUGAAGGACACACCUUUUGUCUCUGGGUUACAAAGUCAACAAGCUCAGUCAGUUUCUUUAUUCCUUGGGUCAGCAACAUUUAACUCUCUGAAAUCUCAGGGCCAAAGCAGGAGUCAAUUCUUUGUGAUUUUGUGGGGUAGGGUGUUAUGAUAACUUGCUAAAAUCAGGGUGCGCAUUACAUUUGUGGCAUGCACAUAGCUUGAGGGAGACUCCGGAGGUGCAGUGGGUUAAACCGCUGAGCUGCUGAACUUGCUGACUGAAAGGUUGGCGGUUCAAAUCCGGGGAGCGAGGUGAGCUCUUGCUGUUAUCCCCAGCUUCUGUCAACCUAGCAGUUCGAAAACAUGCAAAUGUGAGUAGAUCAAUAGGUACCGCUCCGGCGGGAAGGUAACGGCGCUCCAUGCAGUCAUACCGGCCACAUGACCUUGGAGGUAUCUACGGACAACUCCGGCUCUUCGGCUUAGAAAUGGAGAUGAGCACCAACCCCCAGAGUCAGACAUGACUGGACUUAAUGUCAGGGGAAACCUUUACCUUUUUACGAGAAGAAAAUUCAAGAGUUACAAAGUUAGUGCUUUCCUUCCUGCUCCAAAGGACAUGAUGGGUCCAAGUACAUACAUUCACCAUCUUUUCUCCCAGGCUUAUCCUUUCAUUCCUGUUUUGUUGCCCUGAUGUUACUGAAGCACAUAACAGAAAUAAACAUUAAGAGGAGGGAAGGAAACCCAGACUUUAAAGUCGCCUCAGAUUUUUCAUCCUUACAAAGAGACCUGGAAAGGCACAGCAAUGGCCCAAUACUUUAACCUGAGCCCUUGAACCUGACAACCCUAACUGAAAAUGUUUUAGCAGGAAAAGGAUACACAGCCUGCAUAGUAGUACAGCUAAAAAUGAAGGCAGCAGGAUAGCAGGACUUGAUUUCAGAUGUGCUCAUGUGGGCAUGCCCAGUGUAAUGAAAAACAGCAAAUACAUGGCAUGUUAAAUCCUUCCACAAGUAUCCACAAGGCAACAUGUCUCAAAUAUUAUCAGUCAUCAUGGUACAGGCAAAUUAACCUGUUUUGUUCCAGCUUUACCUAUUAUCAAACCAAUUUCACAGAUUUCUGAAAUGGAAGAGAAGGAGAGAGGGCCCAGCAUGAUCUGUAAACAAAAGACCAAACUAUACAUAAUGAUAUUUUGUGGUUUACUCUUAAAUGUGAGAUCAUAACAUUGGUACUCACCAUGGAGGUUCCUUUUCUGUAGUCAUAGGAAGGGAAUCCUUCAAGCUGUGAUUAUAAAGGCCCAAAAACACUCCAAUUAUAAUAAUACAACCUUGGUUAAUGCAAUACAAAACUUUAAUCAAGGAAAUAAUGAGAACCUUAAAUAUUCUCAACUAUGUUCAUAUCCAAUCCGUGCCACUCUUUCUCUGGCAGUGCUUUUGGAACCAGGAAAAAAAGAAGACAAAACAAUCUCCUGAGAUGUAUGGAAUACCUAAACAUACCUAAACAAUUUUAAGAACAAAAGAGUGAUCUUUAUGAAAAGCACAACUAAGAACUGGCAAUGGCCACACCUCAGAAGCUUUGUAAACAGAUACAUAUCAAGCAACAACAAGAAAUCAAUGUAAGACAUUUCAAGUCCACCAAUCUCAAAGUUUGGUUCAAAUUGUGUUUUCAGAAAAGCAAGAAGAGAAAAAAAAAGCUCCCCUUGGAGAGAAGAGAAAUUUUUCUAAUCAUGCAAAUAACUAGUAAUUUGAACAAGGGUAUCCUCAUCAAGACCUAAGUGAAGAGGAAAGGAUUAAAUGUUCACAUUCACAUUCACACAAUCAGGAUCCAUUGCUCUGUGAUGGUUCUUUAUGGGGAAGGGAUUGCAUUUAAAGUCGUAACAUAAAAAUGUCACUCUCUUGUUGGGCGUAACAGUUUAAAUUUCCUGAGGGUCUGUAUGGAACAUUAUGUCAUUUUCUCUAUCUUGAAUCAUGAUGGACAUGGAAUUUUAUAAAUAAAUACAUUUUCUUGCCCAUGUAGGGCUUUAAAGUUAAUAAUAGGCUUGCAUAUUUGUAUGGAAUUACUUACCUUUUUUGUUUGUUCCAUUCGUAUGGCCCUGUUUCCAUUUUCGUCCACUGCUUAUGGAAAGGGGUGCCUAUACAAAUGGGUAUUUCCAACCAAGGUCUGA